Long non-coding RNA from Paramacrobiotus metropolitanus, 1000 nucleotides. RefSeq lists it as uncharacterized. The transcript is spliced from 3 exons. The record is from RefSeq and is a predicted model, not a curated record. NCBI's taxonomy places the organism in Eukaryota, Metazoa, Tardigrada, Eutardigrada, Parachela, Macrobiotidae.
UUGCGUGCCGAAGCUGUCGUCAGAGCCCGCUACCCACGGGUGUUGCGCCAGAUUCGAAAAUCUUGCUUUUUUCACUCAUUUUAGUAGGUAAUUAUUCUUAUUUCGCAAUAUUUAUUUCUGAAAUAGUAUGAGUUCGCAUCCUGUUUUUGUACUGUACUGUACAUAUUGUCGUUUUCAUUCUUUCCUAAUAGUUGGAGGUUGCCUAAAUGUUUAUUACAACCUGAAAUGGAAUGUCGUUUAUCGUUUUCUUAUCGUUUUAACUAUCGCUGUGCCGAGCGAACAGUUGUGGCAAAGACUGGCUCUACAUGCAGUUUGUCACACGAUCGGCUAUACGACUGACACAACGAACGGGACUACGCGGGACUUUGAUGACUGUGCACUGCGCCCCUUUGAUGUGGAAUGGAUUCCAACAAGGCACCGUGAUAUGCUUCAGGAUGAGCGUCGAUUUCUCCAUGUCGCCUAUGCAACUGAUAUGAAAAGGUUAGGAAGGGCGAACUGUGAAGAUACUCGGUGAUUGUUUAAAUUGCUCAACUUGUACACCGCGUGAUGCUCGUAUGAAUUGGACUGUCAGAAUCAUCACGAUAGACAAAUGUGCUGAACCAGUGCUCGGCAAUAACCCGAUAUCCCAAAGUUCUGCAAGCACCUCGCUCACAGCGGAGAUUUUAUCUGACCGAAAAAGAAAAGCGGUGAAGGAGCAGCUCAGGCGGGAUUCAGCAAAGUAGAAACGUGAGGAAGAAAAAAAGAUUUGCUUACGGAACGGCCGGGAUCGUCAAAUCCGACUAAAAUCCGACUCACCCUCUUUCUGAUCUUUGCUCGUGUAACUCUUACGUAGAAGUCGAGUACAUUCUUUUGCGCUAAACGUUUAAUCUGUUGUUGAAGAACUAUGUUAAUAAUAAGCGUGACGAUCUUUUCGAUUUAAAAUUUGGGAAGAAGCGGCCUGAAAAGAUGUCUGAACAACCGGCGAAACUGGCAAAACUGAAGCAAAAUAAAUUAAAAAGAA